GAUGAAGAACGUAGCGAAAUGCGAUAAGUAAUGUGAAUUGCAGAAUUCAGUGAAUCAUCGAAUCUUUGAACGCACAUUGCGCCCGCCAGUAUUCUGGCGGGCAUGCCUGUUCGAGCGUCAUUUCAACCCUCAAGCCCCAGUGGCCUGGUGUUGGGGACCGGCGACCUCGCCCGGGGGAACACCCCCGGCGCGUCCGCCGCCCCCGAAAUGAAUUGGCGGCCCCGUCGCGGCCUCCUCUGCGUAGUAGCACAACCUCGCAGCGGGAGCGCGACGCGGCCACUGCCGUAAAACGCCCAACUUUUUUUUAGAGUUGACCUCGGAUCAGGUAGGAAUACCCGCUGAACUUAAGCAUAUCAAUAAGCGGAGGA
RNAcentral lists this unclassified non-coding RNA (368 nucleotides) under soil metagenome. Its description in RNAcentral is "partial contains 5.8S ribosomal RNA, internal transcribed spacer 2, and large subunit ribosomal RNA". The stretch from base 1 to 120 matches the Rfam family "5.8S ribosomal RNA", at positions 35 to 154 of the family's 154-position model. The record is from RNAcentral.